Molecule: small nuclear RNA, 273 nt
Filed under: Rattus norvegicus (Norway rat)
Lineage: Eukaryota; Metazoa; Chordata; Mammalia; Rodentia; Muridae
Description: 7SK RNA
Rfam family: 7SK RNA
About the family: 7SK was discovered as an abundant small nuclear RNA in the mid-70s but a possible function has only recently been suggested. Two independent studies have found that 7SK RNA binds the CDK9/cyclin T complex (known as elongation factor P-TEFb). P-TEFb activates transcription by phosphorylating the C-terminal domain of RNA polymerase II.
Source: Rfam by way of RNAcentral
AGACAUGGUGGUGAUCCAGCAGCACCAUCUGUCACUCUACGAUCGCCAGGGUUGAGUCAACUUGGCUGAUCUGGCCGGCUAAGCAAGUACCCAUUCCAUCCUCCUGAAGAAGUCCAUUUGGUAGAAGGCAACCUUCUCCCAGAGGAGGAGCGGCGUUCAACCGAAGAUGCACAAGUCGCUGUGUUCCUCCGCUACGACUUCCGAACAAGAACUGGAGCGAGUCCUCCUCACCUGGCUUCAAGAGAUGAGGACUGAGUCCUCCUGACAUGCCCU